This is a non-coding RNA of Pelobates cultripes (western spadefoot toad), 228 nucleotides long. The record is from the annotation of a GenBank genome assembly. Lineage: Eukaryota; Metazoa; Chordata; Amphibia; Anura; Pelobatidae.
CCCGUUGCUGAAGUACUAGUCCCUCUUUCCCAAUUUAUGUCCGGGAAAUUAAAAUCUCCAAUAAUUAACAUGUUACCCCGAUUUGUAGCUUUCCCAAUUUGCUCUAACAGCUGUUCUUCCUCAUUAAUAUUUACAUUAGGUGGUUUAUAACAUAUCCCAACCAAUAAUUGAUUUCCCUUUGUAUGCCCCAGGCAGAUAUCUACCCAUAAAGCUUCCACAUUUUCCUCG